Long non-coding RNA from Octopus sinensis (East Asian common octopus), 164 nucleotides. RefSeq lists it as uncharacterized. The record is from RefSeq and is a predicted model, not a curated record. NCBI's taxonomy places the organism in Eukaryota, Metazoa, Mollusca, Cephalopoda, Octopoda, Octopodidae. The transcript is spliced from 3 exons.
AGUGUGUGGCUGCAUUGCAAGGGUGGACUGAGCCGUCGGUCAAUCGGGCACUGCCCAAGGGCCCAGAGCUCUGAGGGGCCCGCACUCUACAUGUUAACUCUACUAAAACAUACAUUUACAUAUACAAUGCUAAGGGGCCUGGUAAACAGUUAUGCCCCAGGGCC